AUUUAUAUAGUUUAAUAAAAACACUAUAUUUUCAAUGUAGAAAUAAAAUAUCAUUUUUAUAAAUG
Molecule: transfer RNA, 65 nt
Filed under: Chalcopteryx rutilans
Lineage: Eukaryota; Metazoa; Arthropoda; Insecta; Odonata; Polythoridae
Description: tRNA-Glu
Source: RNAcentral